This is a non-coding RNA of Leptonychotes weddellii (Weddell seal), 1208 nucleotides long. The record is from RefSeq and is a predicted model, not a curated record. NCBI's taxonomy places the organism in Eukaryota, Metazoa, Chordata, Mammalia, Carnivora, Phocidae.
GCGAACAACCUCCACCCCGCGCACGCUCCCCGUCCCACCCCGCCCUGUCGGCCGCACGCGCGCCUCUUCUCGGGGCCUUCUCCAGGGCCAAGCCUGGACCCUGUCUCCUGGGCCCCAGAUGCGGCUCUCCAAAGUGAAAGUGAAAUGAGGAAAGAAGGCCAAGUGGUCUGUAGGGGAAGGGUAAUUAGCAUCCGUGUCAAGGUUUACACUCCUGCUCCACCGUCCAGGCUUGCCUAACAGAUGGAGUGAAGCGACCGAGACUCGCUGAGGAGGAAGAAAGAGGAUAUCCCUCCUGAUUCGUUAGAGAGUGGGUGGAGAACUCUUGCAAUAUCCUUGAGUGUUCUCUAGUAAGAGGAUCUUAAACUGGUGGAUUUCUCACUGGGUUUUCUGCUGUGGUCAGAGCACUCGACACAUCCUUUCUCCAUCGGGAAGGAAAAAAAAAAAAAAAGCAACCCUCUCUCCUGCACACACUGUCAGACUUAUGAGGCCACAACUGACAUACGUGCUUGAAGGAGAAAGUGCGCUAUUGUGUCUUGUUUUUCCUUUUGAAUUCCGUCCUCCUGAGACACUGGCUGACCCUUAGGCCCAUGGCCGUCCUGAAUGUGAUUGACAUGCGUGAUUAGCAGGCUAGUGAGAGAGAACCAGGGAAAUUGCUAUCAAAACAAUUACAUACAGGGAUAUCAGAACAAUGGCUUGAGAGACCCCAGGGACUUAGAGACCAUCCUAGCUCUGCCACGGAUGCCCUCUGGGACUGUGGCCAAGUCAGAUCAUCUCUUUGUGUCUUCGUUUCCUCCUGUUUGGGUAUCAAAAGUAUACUUAUAAAAUGAAGCAAGGAUCUCUUCUAUCUCUUCAUUGAAAAAGACUGUCUAAUACAGGAAAUAAAUUUUGAAGAUUUGGUUAAACUCACCUAUGGGGUUAUGGUGCCAUGACUUGGUACAGAAUUAAAUUCAUCAUUGGACCCCUGGAACCUCUCCUCCAGGACCUCAAAUGCACACGUCUGAAGACUUUGUUUCACUCUUGACUGAUUAGGGAUCCAAUGGUCUGGAGGCUGGAAGUCUGAGAUCAGUGUGCUGACAGAUUUGGUGUCUGACGAGAAUCCACUCCCUGGUUGUAGACUGCUGACUUCUUGCCGUACCCUCAUGUGAUGGAAAAAGGAUAUUUGUUCUGAUCCAUUGUAUAGGGAUUUCAGGUCAAGUUGAGAAGAACUG